This is a non-coding RNA of Castor canadensis (American beaver), 3078 nucleotides long. NCBI's taxonomy places the organism in Eukaryota, Metazoa, Chordata, Mammalia, Rodentia, Castoridae. The record is from RefSeq and is a predicted model, not a curated record.
UGUAGUUUGUGCAGAUGUAUGUCAGAGAAAAUGUAUAGUAUGUGUCAAAAUAUAUUCUUGUUGCUGUUGCUACUAAUGCUUGGCUCUCUAAUUUUCUGUUCAUCAGGGAGUUUACUAAGAUUUAAAAUAUAAGUUAAGAACUGUGGAAAACAUAUGUUAGAUUGUUGCUUUGGGAUAAUGAGUGAUGUUUCUUAACAAUUUAUGGUUUCCUGUUAAAACACAGCAGUAACAGGUAAGUUAAUAUCCUACCAAAACAGAAGAGGAGAGAGAGAGAGAGAUGGAGAGAAAGAGAAGGAGGAAAGGAAAGGAUGGAGAGGAUUCAGAGUCUAGCUUGUGUAAUUACACUCAAUUCAGCCUACAGGUGAUUCAUCCAUGCUUCUGAGCAGUUUAUAUCAAAUAGUCCAGAAUAGUGAGAGUGUACUCUUAAGUCUUGGAACAAGACUGUCUCUGGGUUGAUCUCCCUCUUCUGUUGCAGUAAUUGUUACAGUGACAUGUGAUGUCCUAUGGACCGGUUGUCAGUGUGGUGAUGGGGAGUGAUGGUCAGUGUACAUGUCAUUCACUGUGAAGGUCCAGAGGGUCCUCUGAUCUCUUCCUGACUUCUGACCUUGCACUCUUGUCUAUUCCCGCCUGCAGAGGCGACAGGAAGAAGGGUAUUACAGCCGCCUGGAAGCUGAGAGGCGCAGACAGCACGAGGAGGCGGCGCGCAGGUUGCUGGAGCCCGAGGAGCCCGGGCUGUGCCGACCUCCACUUCCACGGGACUACGAGCCCCCGUCCCCGUCCCCUGCGCCCAGCGCCCCUCCUCCCCCACCUCAGCGAAACACCUCCUACCUCAAAACGCAGGUCCUCUCCCCAGAUUCGCUGUUCACUGCCAAGUUUGUUGCAUACAAUGAGGAGGAGGAGGAGGAGGAGGAGGACUGCGGCCCAGCAGGACCGCACUCUUACCUGGGGUCUGCUGGGACAGUCACAGGAGCCCACGAUGUUCCUCGGGACCCGAGAGAGAAGCGCACAAGAAGCCAAGAUGCAGAUGUACCUGGAAGUACCGGAGCCCCUGAAAACCUGACAUUCAAAGAGCGCCAGCGCCUCUUUUCACAAGGUCAAGAUGUGUCUGACAAAGUAAAAGCUUCCCGUAAAUUAACAGAACUUGAGAAUGAACUGAACACCAAGUGAGAGGAGGAGAGACUCGUAUUCACCCGAGUCUGCCCAGCCAUGGGCUUGCAGUGUGAGCCUGAAGAGAAAGGAGGAGGUUCUGUUUGGAAAUGAUUACUGAUUUCUGCUUCUAAAAUGGUUGCGAUUUAGAGAUGUUUUGAUUCUAAGAGAAAUGUUAUCUUACUUUACCAAGAAAUGAUCAUUUGUACAACCUAAGCCCUAUCUGAUUCUUAGUCAUCUGACUUGAGUGUGUGUCUUUUUAGUUUCUUCGUGGAGUCUUGGGCUCAAGGGGCAGAAUGAAGGGCAGUAAAGACACUGGUGUGUUUCUUCCCGUCUUCUCCCGUAAUCAUUCCCAGGAACACAGACCAAGAAAUUCUAUUUCUGUUCUUUCUAAAAACUUCAUUUUGACUACCAGACAAUAGCUGAACUGCCCAGACCUCUGUGAGCACUCUAGGGCCAUCGCCUGCUUGCAGGAGAGAGACCUGAAGUCUGCUCCUCCUGCCCCUGUGGCCUUCUGCCCCAGGAUACCUUCCUGUUUGUGCCCAAGCCACCAGGACAGCAGCCUCCUGGACACAGGAUGCCCAGUUCUUAGUUCCUGACAAGUGUGAGCCCUCCUGAUCAAUUCUGAAUGUUUGAUUGAAUUAAAUAUUGAUUAAUAUUUGAUUUUAAGUUUUCUCAAGGAAAAAAUGUUGAGGAUUUACUCUUAGGAGAUUUUGUUUUUACAAAUACCAGAUUGUUGUUAAUGACUCACUGGUGAAAAUUGAAGAUGACAGUUAGUUAGAAAGUUAAUACUUCAAAAUUCAGAGGUAAGAGAGCUCUCUUGCUGAACAGUUCAUGUGACAGGGAUUUAAAAAAAAAAAAAAAAAUCUGAGCUACAUGGGACAUUCAUACCUGACACUCAGAGCGUAACUGUCACUCAGAAAUUUUCAGUUUGAAAAAGAAAGAUUUAUAUUGAUACACUGUCUAUCAGGAAAAGAAGGAAUUCAAGUACUACACCACCUGCAGCUUAAAUAUUGCCAGGAUGACGCAUAUGGAAGUUGAAACUAUGUUUCUUUUACAGUAUAAUAGAGUUAUUUAAUUUUAAUUUGUGAAUUGUGAGUUGCCACUGUCGGUCCUCCAGCUGUAGGUGUGUGGCUGACAUUGGUGGGGAGACGGACCUCAGUUUGUUUAUAUGUGUGAUGUUAAAAAGGUGAAUUACUUUGUGAUUUCAAGCACAUGUCCUAUUUGACAAAGCCCUAAGUGGGUCCAAUGAUCUUUCUGUACCGUACUGUUCUCUUAUAUGUCUGGAAAAUAUGCACACUUUCAAAUGGAAGAACAGAGACAUCCGCCACCCAAAAACCACUUUUAAAAAGAGUUGUAUGAUAAGUCAUUGAAAGUGUAAGUGUAAAUAUUUUUUAUGUCUAUCAGGGUUCUUAUUUGAAAGUGUGCCUUUCCCUUUUCCUCUAAGUAAGAGAGUUGAAUGGUCCUGAGAGUGACAAAGGAUUUGCACCUGCCUGGGGAAGAGUGAGUUCCUCUGGUGUUCUGAGAACACUGUGGCCUGGAGGAGACGCUGAUCAUUGGGACUCUUCCCACAUGGGAACCACACGCGCGCGUGUGCGAACAUCGGUAGACCUGGGGAAGUUAUCUGUGUGGUUAAACAACCCAUGGCCAGGUGGACCCGGCCAUCCCUGGACCUCGAGGUCAAGAGUGAGUGUGUGUAAGAGCGCGUUUCAUAAUGCACAUCCGUCACCAUGGAAAAACAUCCAGAACUGCUGUAGUUUUCCGUUUCUACUGUAUUUCAGUUGCAACCUAUUUUUAAUAAACUUUGUAUGUAUUUAAGACUAUUUGCUAUUAUUUUCAAAGUGCUGACAAAGUUUAUAUUUGUAAUGGCAGCCUUCCUCUGCCCCAUGUCCACCUGCCGCUUGUUCAUUAAACAGUGCCAAGUGUCAGUCC